This 433-nucleotide ribosomal RNA is filed under the name uncultured bacterium. Its description in RNAcentral is "partial 16S ribosomal RNA". It matches the Rfam family "Bacterial small subunit ribosomal RNA", at positions 29 to 507 of the family's 1533-position model. The record is from RNAcentral.
AGCGAACGCUGGCGGCAGGCCUAACACAUGCAAGUCGAACGAACUCUUCGGAGUUAGUUGCGGACGGGUGAGUAACACGUGGGAACGGUCCUUUUGGUUCGGAAUAACUCAUGUACACUUGUGCUAAUACCGAAUGUGUCCUUCGGGGGAAACAUUCAUCGCCAUUGUAGCGGCCCGCGUCCUACUAGCUAGUUGGUGAGGUAACGGCUCACCAAGGCUAGGCUCAGUAGCUGGUCAGAGAGGAUGGCCAGCCACACUUGGACUAGGACACGGGCCAGACUCCUACGCGAGGCGGGAGUGCGGGAUCUAGCGCAAUGGGGUGGAGGCUGAAGCAGCCAUGCCGCGAGAAUGAUGAAGUUCUGAGGGUUAUACAAUUCUUUCACCCGCGACGAUACUGACGGUACCCAGAGAAGAAGCCCCGGCUAACUUCGUG